This 901-nucleotide ribosomal RNA is filed under the name Microbacterium trichothecenolyticum. RNAcentral's name for it is "bacterial SSU rRNA". It matches the Rfam family "Bacterial small subunit ribosomal RNA", at positions 542 to 1440 of the family's 1533-position model. Lineage: Bacteria; Bacillati; Actinomycetota; Actinomycetes; Micrococcales; Microbacteriaceae. The record is from RNAcentral.
UAUCCGGAAUUAUUGGGCGUAAAGAGCUCGUAGGCGGUUUGUCGCGUCUGCUGUGAAAUCCCGAGGCUCAACCUCGGGCCUGCAGUGGGUACGGGCAGACUAGAGUGCGGUAGGGGAGAUUGGAAUUCCUGGUGUAGCGGUGGAAUGCGCAGAUAUCAGGAGGAACACCGAUGGCGAAGGCAGAUCUCUGGGCCGUAACUGACGCUGAGGAGCGAAAGGGUGGGGAGCAAACAGGCUUAGAUACCCUGGUAGUCCACCCCGUAAACGUUGGGAACUAGUUGUGGGGUCCUUUCCACGGAUUCCGUGACGCAGCUAACGCAUUAAGUUCCCCGCCUGGGGAGUACGGCCGCAAGGCUAAAACUCAAAGGAAUUGACGGGGACCCGCACAAGCGGCGGAGCAUGCGGAUUAAUUCGAUGCAACGCGAAGAACCUUACCAAGGCUUGACAUACACGAGAACACUCUAGAAAUAGAGGACUCUUUGGACACUCGUGAACAGGUGGUGCAUGGUUGUCGUCAGCUCGUGUCGUGAGAUGUUGGGUUAAGUCCCGCAACGAGCGCAACCCUCGUUCUAUGUUGCCAGCACGUAAUGGUGGGAACUCAUGGGAUACUGCCGGGGUCAACUCGGAGGAAGGUGGGGAUGACGUCAAAUCAUCAUGCCCCUUAUGUCUUGGGCUUCACGCAUGCUACAAUGGCCGGUACAAAGGGCUGCAAUACCGUGAGGUGGAGCGAAUCCCAAAAAGCCGGUCCCAGUUCGGAUUGAGGUCUGCAACUCGACCUCAUGAAGUCGGAGUCGCUAGUAAUCGCAGAUCAGCAACGCUGCGGUGAAUACGUUCCCGGGUCUUGUACACACCGCCCGUCAAGUCAUGAAAGUCGGUAACACCUGAAGCCGGUGGCCUAACC